AUGGCGAUCAACAACUUACAUUAUAUGCUUUGGGUUCCAGAGGAUGGAGUAGGUGUGGAAGUCGUUGGUGGCAUCGAACCAGAGGCGGAACUGCUGCUCCCGCUGGCCCUGCCCCUGCGUGAACACGUUGGUGUGCAGCGUGUACGGCUCGCCGGUGACGUUGCCGAGGAACUCGAAGUCGAUCUCAUCGUGCGUCGGCCCCUGCGACGACAGCUGCACAUUCAUACUAGGCGGUGA
This 237-nucleotide ribosomal RNA is filed under the name Triticum aestivum (bread wheat). RNAcentral describes it as "partial small subunit ribosomal RNA". The record is from RNAcentral. Lineage: Eukaryota; Viridiplantae; Streptophyta; Magnoliopsida; Poales; Poaceae.